UGUACAUAACAAUCUAAUGCGCCAUCUUUUGUUUCAAACUCUUGUAAUAUCUUGAAUAUCAAGAAAACGAGAUGUCCCUCUUCGGAAUUUGUUUUAUUUUGUAACAAUCUAAUUAUAAAGCUGUUGCGCAGUUCAAAUUAUCACAUACAGACGUGAUAGUUGGUUGUGAAGUUUACCUUCGUGGAAUGUUUGUCUGAAGUCUAAGAACUGUCAACAACAACAACGAGCAUCUUUCGUGUUCAAGAAGCAUAGCGUGACUAAAAACACGAAAUAUUUAUCGUUGACAAUCGUCUUCAAUAAAAAACGACAUGAAUAUUUCUCUGUUAAAGACAAAAUCGUAUUCAAAUAAGGUUGAAAAACAUCGAUGUUUGUGGUUUUUAUUCACCACGAUGAUGGACUCGCAUAACUGUAAGGAAAGUGAUGCGUAUAAAAUUAAAUACAAAUUUUAAUAGUAGUUUUCUCCCAUCAUUUCAAAAAUAGUCUUCAUGACGAGGUUUUAAAAGUUUUUUUCAGUUUAACUCCAAAAAUCAUUUGUGUUCUGGAGCUCAUUAUUAAAAUCUGUGUCUUAAUUAGUAAA
Long non-coding RNA from Xenia sp. Carnegie-2017, 577 nucleotides. RefSeq lists it as uncharacterized. NCBI's taxonomy places the organism in Eukaryota, Metazoa, Cnidaria, Anthozoa, Malacalcyonacea, Xeniidae. The record is from RefSeq and is a predicted model, not a curated record. The transcript has 2 exons.